AGAUAAAAUUAAUUGGUCAUUUCUUGUAAUUGUGAUUUCAAAAAUAAUACAUUAUAUUAUCAAACAUCAAUUUGGGGUGAUUUACAUUUUUCAAUAUUUAGGUCAUAAGUUAAUGUAAUUAGGUACACUCAUUAUCUCGUAAAGUAUUAACUUUUUUCGAGAUUUGUUUUCUAGAAUUACUACAUGAAAAAAUCAGAGUAAGUCCUCUGGUAAAAA
Non-coding RNA from Cinara cedri, 216 nucleotides. The record is from the annotation of a GenBank genome assembly. NCBI's taxonomy places the organism in Eukaryota, Metazoa, Arthropoda, Insecta, Hemiptera, Aphididae.